This 253-nucleotide ribosomal RNA is filed under the name uncultured bacterium. Its description in RNAcentral is "partial 16S ribosomal RNA". It matches the Rfam family "Bacterial small subunit ribosomal RNA", at positions 524 to 775 of the family's 1533-position model. The record is from RNAcentral.
UACGAAGGGGGGCUAGCGUUGUUCGGAUUUACUGGGCGUAAAGCGCACGUAGGCGGAUUGUUAAGUCAGGGGUGAAAUCCUGGAGCUCAACUCCAGAACUGCCUUUGAUACUGGCAAUCUAGAGUCCGGAAGAGGUGAGUGGAACUCCUAGUGUAGAGGUGGAAUUCGUAGAUAUUAGGAAGAACACCAGUGGCGAAGGCGGCUCACUGGUCCGGUACUGACGCUGAGGUGCGAAAGCGUGGGGAGCAAACAG